RNAcentral lists this ribosomal RNA (1437 nucleotides) under uncultured organism. Its description in RNAcentral is "16S ribosomal RNA". It matches the Rfam family "Bacterial small subunit ribosomal RNA". The record is from RNAcentral.
CAGGCUUAACACAUGCAAGUCGAGGGGCAGCAUGGUCUUAGCUUGCUAAGGCCGAUGGCGACCGGCGCACGGGUGAGUAACACGUAUCCAACCUGCCGUCUACUCUUGGACAGCCUUCUGAAAGGAAGAUUAAUACAAGAUGGCAUCAUGAGUCCGCAUGUUCACAUGAUUAAAGGUAUUCCGGUAGACGAUGGGGAUGCGUUCCAUUAGAUAGUAGGCGGGGUAACGGCCCACCUAGUCUUCGAUGGAUAGGGGUUCUGAGAGGAAGGUCCCCCACAUUGGAACUGAGACACAGUCCAAACUCCUACGGGAGGCAGCAGUGAGGAAUAUUGGUCAAUGGGCGAGAGCCUGAACCAGCCAAGUAGCGUGAAGGAUGACUGCCCUAUGGGUUGUAAACUUCUUUUAUAAAGGAAUAAAGUCGGGUAUGGAUACCCGUUUGCAUGUACUUUAUGAAUAAGGAUCGGCUAACUCCGUGCCAGCAGCCGCGGUAAUACGGAGGAUCCGAGCGUUAUCCGGAUUUAUUGGGUUUAAAGGGAGCGUAGAUGGAUGUUUAAGUCAGUUGUGAAAGUUUGCGGCUCAACCGUAAAAUUGCAGUUGAUACUGGAUAUCUUGAGUGCAGUUGAGGCAGGCGGAAUUCGUGGUGUAGCGGUGAAAUGCUUAGAUAUCACGAAGAACUCCGAUUGCGAAGGCAGCCUGCUAAGCUGCAACUGACAUUGAGGCUCGAAAGUGUGGGUAUCAAACAGGAUUAGAUACCCUGGUAGUCCACACGGUAAACGAUGAAUACUCGCUGUUUGCGAUAUACGGCAAGCGGCCAAGCGAAAGCGUUAAGUAUUCCACCUGGGGAGUACGCCGGCAACGGUGAAACUCAAAGGAAUUGACGGGGGCCCGCACAAGCGGAGGAACAUGUGGUUUAAUUCGAUGAUACGCGAGGAACCUUACCCGGGCUUAAAUUGCAGAUGAAUUACGGUGAAAGCCGUAAGCCGCAAGGCAUCUGUGAAGGUGCUGCAUGGUUGUCGUCAACUCGUGCCGUGAGGUGUCGGCUUAAGUGCCAUAACGAGCGCAACCCUUGUUGUCAGUUACUAACAGGUUCUGCUGAGGACUCUGACAAGACUGCCAUCGUAAGAUGUGAGGAAGGUGGGGAUGACGUCAAAUCAGCACGGCCCUUACGUCCGGGGCUACACACGUGUUACAAUGGGGGGUACAGAGGGCCGCUACCACGCGAGUGGAUGCCAAUCCCAAAAACCUCUCUCAGUUCGGACUGGAGUCUGCAACCCGACUCCACGAAGCUGGAUUCGCUAGUAAUCGCGCAUCAGCCACGGCGCGGUGAAUACGUUCCCGGGCCUUGUACACACCGCCCGUCAAGCCAUGGGAGCCGGGGGUACCUGAAGUGCGUAACCGCGAGGAGCGCCCUAGGGUAAAACUGGUGACUGGGGCUAA